UUUUUUUAAGUAUUUCCGCAGAUCUCCAAGACAAUUUGCUGAUGAAGGAGGUGUUGACAGCGUAGAUGGCGUUGCCCAAAGAUUAGUCUAGAGUCGGAUAUUCUUUCCUUAGCCAUGGCGCUUAGAUCAAAGAUUAAAAGUUAAAAAGAUACGUUAAAAAGAAAAUAGCAAUGUUGGUGAAACAUGAUCUGAGAAGGGUGGCUAAUGCGGUAGGAGUGGGACAAUGGUGGUGUGUUCGGGGACGAAAGCAACAGAGGUUUGAUAAAGAAUUAUCAAGUGCUCAACAUGACACAGUGAGGGUUAGGAUUUAGAGAUUUAACUUUCAAGACUACUACUGCUGCUUAUGGCUUUCAGUCGACAUGCAUUUCUUUAGAAGAACAACAAUUCCG
This 389-nucleotide long non-coding RNA is filed under the name Daucus carota (carrot). RNAcentral's name for it is "long non-coding RNA (DCAR_LNC001075)". The record is from RNAcentral. Lineage: Eukaryota; Viridiplantae; Streptophyta; Magnoliopsida; Apiales; Apiaceae.